RNAcentral lists this long non-coding RNA (1038 nucleotides) under Elaeis guineensis (African oil palm). Its description in RNAcentral is "long non-coding RNA (EGUI_LNC000457)". The record is from RNAcentral. Lineage: Eukaryota; Viridiplantae; Streptophyta; Magnoliopsida; Arecales; Arecaceae.
GUACUUCCGGGGUUACUCAUCUGCAGCAACGCAACAUUACCACAAAAACUUGUCAGUUCCAGGGAUGUGGAAAAGGAGCAAGAGGCGUUUCUGGACUAUGCAUAGCCCAUGGUGGGGGACGAAGAUGCCAGAGACCUGGCUGUCACAAGGGAGCUGAGGGUAGGACCAUCUUUUGCAAGGCCCAUGGAGGUGGUUGGCGAUGCCAACACCUUGGCUCCACGAAGAGUGCCGAUGAAGGCUGCACUGAUUAUUGCAUUGCUCAUGGCUCAACAACUGCUUGCACCAUGUCUUCGGUGAAGGAGACUGAUGAGGAAUCCUCAGCCGAUCUGGGUUUGAAUUUUCAGCUUCAUCUUGGCGAUGAGAAUAUGCCUAGCCCUAAGAAAUCCUCUGUUGCUGCUCAGGCAUCAGGAAGUGAACUGAUUUAUGACCUCCAGCUAGGUCUAUCAACUGGCCCAUCUGAAUCUGUUAUUACUGGUAUCAGCCCAGUGUCCGAUCAACUUCAGAACAGCCUGGACACAUCAGCAGUGAUUGGUCAAGUGCCAAAAGUUGAUGAAGGAUUAGCAUCAUCUCGCUGGAUAUUUGGGAGUUAUGUGGCACCCUCUUUAUAUAUUUCAGAGACAACUAGCAGCUUUCCUUCCAACCAAAAGAUUCAUGCUAAAGCUGAUCCAGUUGCAGUUGUCCCAGACCUCACAUCAACCAAGAUACAAACAUUGAAAAGCCCAGUUGCCUGUACUUCUGGGGUUACUCAUCUGCAGCAACGCAGCAUUACCACAAAAACUUGUCAGUUCCAGGGAUGUGGAAAAGGAGCAAGAGGUGCUUCUGGACUGUGCAUAGCCCAUGGUGGGGGACGAAGAUGCCAGAGACCUGGCUGUCACAAGGGAGCCGAGGGUAGGACCAUCUUUUGCAAGGCCCAUGGAGGUGGUCGGCGUUGCCAACACCUUGGCUGCACAAAAAGCGCUGAAGGCCGCACUGAUUAUUGCAUUGCUCAUGGUGGUGGCCGGCGCUGCAGCCAUGAAGGCUGCAUCCGAGCUGCUAGGG